This 73-nucleotide microRNA precursor is filed under the name Callithrix jacchus (white-tufted-ear marmoset). RNAcentral describes it as "microRNA cja-mir-466b precursor". Its record names the gene cja-mir-466b. The record is from miRBase by way of RNAcentral. Lineage: Eukaryota; Metazoa; Chordata; Mammalia; Primates; Cebidae.
UAGGCAGGACUGCCAUGCAGGUGGGCUGCGCCACAUGAUGGCUUGUGUACGUGUGUGUGCAUGUGCAUGCCUG